UGAGGAAUAUUGGGCAAUGCCCGCAAGGGUGACCCAGCAACGCCGCGUGGAGGAUGAAUGUCGUAAGAUUGUAAACUCCUGUUAGAGGGGAAGAAUAGUACCGGUUGGACCGGUAUAUGACUGUACCCUCAGAGAAAGCCCCGGCUAACUACGUGCCAGCGGCCGCGGUAAUACGUAGGGGGCAAGCGUUGUCCGGAUUUACUGGGUGUAAAGGGCGCGCAGGCGGGAUAAAAAGUCAGUGGUGAAAUCCUACAGCUUAACUGUAGAACUGCCUUUGAUACUUUUAUUCUUGAGUUCGGGAGAGAGAGACGGAAUUCCAGGUGUAGUGGUGAAAUACGUAGAUAUCUGGAAGAACACCAGUUGCGAAGGCGGUCUCUUGGUCCGACACUGACGCUGAGGCGCGAAAGCGUGGGGAGCAAACA
This 422-nucleotide ribosomal RNA is filed under the name uncultured bacterium. RNAcentral's name for it is "bacterial SSU rRNA". It matches the Rfam family "Bacterial small subunit ribosomal RNA", at positions 355 to 774 of the family's 1533-position model. The record is from RNAcentral.